Molecule: ribosomal RNA, 463 nt
Filed under: uncultured bacterium
Lineage: Bacteria
Description: bacterial SSU rRNA
Rfam family: Bacterial small subunit ribosomal RNA
Source: RNAcentral
UCCAGACUCCUACGGGAGGCAGCAGUGGGGAAUAUUGCACAAUGGGGGAAACCCUGAUGCAGCGACGCCGCGUGAGUGAAGAAGUAUUUCGGUAUGUAAAGCUCUAUCAGCAGGGAAGAAAUACUGACCUUACGGUCAGCAGACGGUACCUGACUAAGAAGCCCCGGCUAACUACGUGCCAGCAGCCGCGGUAAUACGUAGGGGGCAAGCGUUAUCCGGAUUUACUGGGUGUAAAGGGAGCGUAGACGGCAGCGCAAGUCUGAAGUGAAAUCCCAUGGCUUAACCAUGGAACUGCUUUGGAAACUGUGCAGCUGGAGUGCAGGAGAGGUAAGCGGAAUUCCUAGUGUAGCGGUGAAAUGCGUAGAUAUUAGGAGGAACACCAGUGGCGAAGGCGGCUUACUGGACUGUACCUGACGCUGAGGCGCGAAAGCGUGGGUAGCGAACGGGAUUAGAUACCCGAGUA